This 282-nucleotide ribosomal RNA is filed under the name Triticum aestivum (bread wheat). Its description in RNAcentral is "partial small subunit ribosomal RNA". The record is from RNAcentral. Lineage: Eukaryota; Viridiplantae; Streptophyta; Magnoliopsida; Poales; Poaceae.
AUGGACCAGUCCAUCCCUUAUUCCCGUGGCUAUGCAUCAAAGCCGGAUGACGAAGGUCCCGAUGAAGAAGUUGAUGGGGAUGGCACAUUCCUGACCGGGCAAUACAAAGGCACUUUGUUGGUCACAAUAGCGAGUGAUGCCAAUAACCGGGUGUUGCCUUUGGCUUUUGCUUUGGUUGACGUGGAGAACAAUGAUAACUGGGAGUGGUUCUUGCGUCUUUUGAGAACCAAGUGGACAUUGACAUUCCCGGGCAUGCUCCGUUGCACCAUCGAUGGUGCGUGA